RNAcentral lists this transfer RNA (75 nucleotides) under Acidobacteriota bacterium. RNAcentral describes it as "Acidobacteria bacterium tRNA-His". It matches the Rfam family "tRNA". Rfam says of the family: Transfer RNA (tRNA) molecules are approximately 80 nucleotides in length. Their secondary structure includes four short double-helical elements and three loops (D, anti-codon, and T loops). RNAcentral also lists the same sequence under 1 other name. The record is from RNAcentral. Lineage: Bacteria; Pseudomonadati; Acidobacteriota.
GUGAGUGUAGCUCAAUGGUAGAGCACCGGACUGUGGCUCCGGAUGUUGCGGGUUCGAUCCCCGUCACUCACCCCA